GGGGAACCAUAGUCAAGAAAGAGGUGAUUGGAAGAAAAAUUCUGAUCGUGCCAUCAUGCACUAGGCCUACUGUACAAGCCUGUGGGGGCAGUGCUAUGAUCUGGUGUUGCUGCAGUUGGUCGGGUCUAGGUUCAGCAACAUUAUGUGCCCAAAGGACUACCUCAAUAUACUGAAUGACCAGAUUAUUCCAUCAAUGGAUUUUUUCUUCCCUGAUUGCACGGGCAUAUUACAAGAUGACAAUGCGAGGAUUCAUUGGGCUCAAAUUGUGAAAGAGUGGUUCAGGGAGCAAGAGACAUUUUCACACAAGGAUUGGCCACCACAGAGUCCAGACCUCAACCCCAUUGAAAAUCUUUGGGAUCUGCUGGAGAAGGCUUUGGACAGUGGUCAGACUCUCCCAUCA
Non-coding RNA from Pelobates cultripes (western spadefoot toad), 400 nucleotides. Lineage: Eukaryota; Metazoa; Chordata; Amphibia; Anura; Pelobatidae. The record is from the annotation of a GenBank genome assembly.